Molecule: transfer RNA, 76 nt
Filed under: Bacillota bacterium
Lineage: Bacteria; Bacillati; Bacillota
Also listed under: 1 other name
Description: Firmicutes bacterium (anaerobic digester metagenome) tRNA-Arg
Rfam family: tRNA
About the family: Transfer RNA (tRNA) molecules are approximately 80 nucleotides in length. Their secondary structure includes four short double-helical elements and three loops (D, anti-codon, and T loops).
Source: RNAcentral
GGCCCCGUAGCUCAGUGGAUAGAGCAAUGGUUUCCUAAACCAUGUGCCGGGUGUUCGAGUCACCCCGGGGCCACCA